GACGAACGCUGGCGGCGUGCUUAACACAUGCAAGUCGAACGAAGUGGCGAACGGGUGAGUAACGCGUAAUCAACCUGCCCUUCAGAGGGGGACAACAGUUGGAAACGAUUGCUAAUACCGCAUACUGAAGGAGGGGAUUGCGUCGGCUUGGCUAGUUGGAGGGGUAACGGCCCACCAAGGCGAUGAUCAGUAGCCGGGCGGAGGAGAUGAACUGCCACAAUGGGACUGAGACACGGCCCAGACUCCUACGGGAGGCAGCAGUGGGGAAUCUUCCGAAAUGGACGAAAGUCUGACGGAACAACGCCGCGGGGGUGAUGACGGGCUUCGGGUUGUAAAGCUCUGUUAAUCGGGACGCGGUACCGGAAUAGAAAGCCACGGCUAACUACGUGCCAGCCGCCGCGGUAAUUC
Molecule: ribosomal RNA, 408 nt
Filed under: uncultured bacterium
Lineage: Bacteria
Description: partial 16S ribosomal RNA
Rfam family: Bacterial small subunit ribosomal RNA
Source: RNAcentral